CCACUACGGGUAAUGGGGUUCAGGUGGGGCUAGUCUCCCAGGUAGUGGAGGAGAUGCCCACUACGGGUAAUGGGGUUCAGGUGGGGCUAGUCUCCCGGGUAGUGGAGGAGAUGUCCACUACGAGUAAUGGGGUUCAGGUGGGGUUAGUCUCCCAGGUAGUGGAGGAGAUGUCCACUACGAGUAAUGGGGUUCAGGUGGGGUUAGUCUCCCAGGUAGUGGAGGAGAUACGAGUAAUGGGGUUAUGGUGGGGCCAGUCUCCCAGGUAGUGGAGGAGAUACGAGUAAUGGGGUUCAGGUGGGGCUAGUCUCCCAGGUAGUGGAGGAGAUACGAGUAAUGGGGUUCAGGUGGGGCUAGUCUCCCAGGUAGUGGAGGAGAUGUCCACUACGAGUAAUGGGGUUCAGGUGGGGUUAGUCUCCCAGUUGGUGGAGGAGAUGCCCACUAUGAGUAAUGGGGUUCAGGUGGAGCUAGUCUCCUAGGUAGUGGAGGAGAUACGAGUAAUGGGGUUCAGGUGGGGCUAGUCUCCCAGGUAGUGGAGGAGAUACGAGUAAUGGGGUUAUGGUGGGGCCAGUCUCCCAGGUAGUGGAGGAGAUACGAGUAAUGGGGUUCAGGUGGGGCUAGUCUCCCAGGUAGUGGAGGAGAUACGAGUAAUGGGGUUCAGGUGGAGCUAGUCUCCCAGGUAGUGGAGGAGAUGCCCGGUACAGGUAAUGGGGUUCAGGUGGGGCCAGUCUCCCAGGUAGUGGAGGAGAUGCCCGGUACGAGUGAUG
Long non-coding RNA from Oncorhynchus tshawytscha (Chinook salmon), 764 nucleotides. The record is from Ensembl. NCBI's taxonomy places the organism in Eukaryota, Metazoa, Chordata, Actinopteri, Salmoniformes, Salmonidae.